GCUGAUUUCCUCAUCUUUGGUUAUUUAGCUUUCUGAUUGCCCGUACAAACAUCAUAAAGCUAUUUAACCAAAUUUGAGGACCCAGCU
RNAcentral lists this microRNA precursor (87 nucleotides) under Tetranychus urticae (two-spotted spider mite). RNAcentral's name for it is "microRNA tur-mir-9 precursor (tur-mir-9-1)". Its record names the gene tur-mir-9-1. The stretch from base 13 to 75 matches the Rfam family "mir-9/mir-79 microRNA precursor family", at positions 1 to 62 of the family's 78-position model. Rfam says of the family: The mature ~21nt miRNAs are processed from hairpin precursor sequences represented here. miR-9 is processed from the 5' arm of its precursor, and miR-79 from the 3' arm. The bounds of the precursors are predicted based on conservation and base pairing and are not generally known. The record is from miRBase by way of RNAcentral. Lineage: Eukaryota; Metazoa; Arthropoda; Arachnida; Trombidiformes; Tetranychidae.